Molecule: ribosomal RNA, 239 nt
Filed under: uncultured bacterium
Lineage: Bacteria
Description: partial 16S ribosomal RNA
Rfam family: Bacterial small subunit ribosomal RNA
Source: RNAcentral
UACGAAGGGUGCAAACGUUGCUCGGAAUCAUUGGGCGUAAAGCGCACGUAGCGGCCUCAAAGUCGGAUGUGAAUCCCGUGGCUCAACCAUGGACGUGCAUUCGAAACUGCGAGGCUUGAGUAUGGAAGAGGGUCGCGGAAUUCCGGUGUAGAGGUGGAAAUUCGUAGAUAUCGGGAGGAACACCAGUGGCGAAGGCGGCGACCUGGGCCAAUACUGGACGCUGAGGUGCGAAAGCGUGG